CCUAGGUAGCUUAUUAGAGCAUUACAUUGAAGCUGUAAAGGAGACAAUUCUGUCUCUGGGUG
This 62-nucleotide transfer RNA is filed under the name Palaemon annandalei. RNAcentral describes it as "tRNA-Phe". Lineage: Eukaryota; Metazoa; Arthropoda; Malacostraca; Decapoda; Palaemonidae. The record is from RNAcentral.